This is a long non-coding RNA of Ochotona princeps (American pika), 556 nucleotides long. RefSeq lists it as uncharacterized. Lineage: Eukaryota; Metazoa; Chordata; Mammalia; Lagomorpha; Ochotonidae. The transcript has 3 exons. The record is from RefSeq and is a predicted model, not a curated record.
CAGUUGGACUAGGACAGUAGCACCGGAGCAUUGCACUCCUCAGGUACUCAGUUCACCCAGACGCACUCCAUGUCAAGACGAUCUGUGCUGACAUAGACUAUCACAAGUCCUACUCACUAGUUCAUACUCCAAAUGCCAGCAAUUACCCUCAGGAGGAGCCCAACCUGGGAGCCAGGAAAUCCAUCCUGCCUACCCAUGCAAAUGCCUCCCACUUCCACAGCCAACUGGGAACAGACGAGUCCAUGAUUGAUGAUAAUGGCCUGCUACCUCAUAUUUGGAGAAUAAGUCAGCUUCUACAAUACCAAGCAAGAUUAACGAAAGUACUGGAGAAGACAGAUGCUGAAGUGCCAAUUUCCUACUGAGAGCCUUGGCCGGAAAUGACAGCCAGCCAUGAAAUGUACCUCCCACCAUACACGUUAAUUUACAAAUAUAUCUACGAAAUGUUCAGUCAAUGUAUCAUUGACAAGGAACACACUUUACUAGCAAAUUUUUACCAUCUUAGGAAAGCAAUCUGCGUGUGAAACUUGCUUUGCUGGUUAGAGAUCUCACUGUGCAG